This 253-nucleotide ribosomal RNA is filed under the name uncultured bacterium. RNAcentral's name for it is "partial 16S ribosomal RNA". It matches the Rfam family "Bacterial small subunit ribosomal RNA", at positions 524 to 776 of the family's 1533-position model. The record is from RNAcentral.
UACGAAGGGGGCUAGCGUUGUUCGGAAUUACUGGGCGUAAAGCGCGCGCAGGCGGUCUUCCAAGUCAGUGGUGAAAGCCCGGAGCUCAACUCCGGAACUGCCAUUGAAACUGUAAGACUUGAGGAUGAGAGAGGUGAGUGGAAUUCCCAGUGUAGAGGUGAAAUUCGUAGAUAUUGGGAAGAACACCGGUGGCGAAGGCGGCUCACUGGCCCGAUACUGACGCUGAGGUGCGAAAGCGUGGGGAGCGAACAGG